GACGGGGCCCGCACAAGCGGUGGAGCAUGUGGUUAAUCGAAGCAACGCGAAGAACCUUACCAGGUCUUGACAUCCCGAUGCUAUUUCUAGAGAUAGAAAGUUACUCGGUACAUCGGUGACAGGUGGUGCAUGGUUGUCGUCAGCUCGUGUCGUGAGAUGUUGGGUUAAGUCCCGCAACGAGCGCAACCCCUACGUUAGUUGCUAACGCGUGAAGGCGAGCACUCUAGACGAACUGCCGUUGACAAAACGGAGGAAGGUGGGAUGACGUCAAAUCAUCAUGCCCCUUAUGUUCUGGGCUACACACGUGCUACAAUGGCCGGUACAGACGGACGCAAAGCCGCGAGGUGGAGCAAAUCCUAAAAAGCCGGUCUCAGUUCGGAUUGCAGGCUGCAAUUCGCCUGCAUGAAGUCGGAAUCGCUAGUAAUCGCAGGUCAGCAUACUGCGGUGAAUACGUUCCCGGGCCUU
Molecule: ribosomal RNA, 465 nt
Filed under: uncultured Pelotomaculum sp.
Lineage: Bacteria; Bacillati; Bacillota; Clostridia; Eubacteriales; Desulfotomaculaceae
Description: bacterial SSU rRNA
Rfam family: Bacterial small subunit ribosomal RNA
Source: RNAcentral